CCCUCGCCGCGGCUGAGCUGCAGAAAGGCGCCCGCCCCACUGGACCCCAGGGAAAAGUCCACCAGCACUCCAGGUAGGAGGCUGGGUGGACAUUUGUUUUUAAUUGAAAAUAUAAUAAUUUGUUCUUGUGUGUGAUUGUGUGUAUGUGAGUGUGUGUGUGUGUCAGUGAGUGUGUCAGUGAGUGUGUCAGUGAGUGUGUCUGUGUGUGUGUGUGUGUGUGUCAGUGAGUGUGAGUGUCUGUGUGUGAGUGAGUGCGUGUGUCAGUGAGUGAGUGUGUC
This is a non-coding RNA of Pelobates cultripes (western spadefoot toad), 278 nucleotides long. NCBI's taxonomy places the organism in Eukaryota, Metazoa, Chordata, Amphibia, Anura, Pelobatidae. The record is from the annotation of a GenBank genome assembly.